ACCUUCUUUGACUCUUGACUAGUCGAAGUACGCUCCCUCCAAAAUUGCACCUGCUAUGGUUGACGAGUCAUAAACAAGUGGAUGUAGUUACCCUCAGUCACUGAUGACCUUGUACGGUUCAUUGGGCCUCAAUCGCCAAGGGUCGUCGACCUCCGUGUAUUCACUUCGUAACUCGAAAUUGUUGCUCCAAACUUCUAGAUAAGCU
Molecule: long non-coding RNA, 205 nt
Filed under: Physcomitrium patens
Lineage: Eukaryota; Viridiplantae; Streptophyta; Bryopsida; Funariales; Funariaceae
Description: long non-coding RNA (PPAT_LNC001245)
Source: RNAcentral